UGUUAAAUGACAGUACCGGCCUUCCUACAUACUAUACUCUGACUGUUCAACACCAUUCUGAUCCAGACAGCUGAAACAGCCCUUUAAAAAGCACUUUAAAGUGCUCUCGACUACAUCGCAUAAUGCUCUUCUUGAUCAUAUGACGAAAUACUGAAUAAGGGCAGAUUUUUGAAGUGUCUGCUGUCAUAAGAACUAGUGCAGUGCUUCUGGUUUGAAAUUUGAACCACCUCUGAAUGAUUUUGUUGCAGCUCUGCUACGAUUACAAGCUCACCCCAGUUUCAGAUCAGAGCAAGAUCCCAUGUCACUGUGGAGCCGCCAACUGCCGCAAGUGGAUAAACUAACAAGGAGUGACACCAACAACAACUCAAACAACUCUGAGGUGCCAAUUUACCAGAGGAGACGUGCAAAGAGGAAACAGCCAAUCCUGGAAGUUGUCGUAACGGGCGAUCAUUUUUUUAAUGUGCAAAACUAAGAGGAAAACACAACGUGAGAAUACAGCAUUGUCUCGAAUGCGUGUGCGUCACACGGGGCAGAUUUCACCAGCGAAUGAGGACGGAGAAUGAGCGCGAGCACUGUGCCGGGUAUUGCCUUAUAGGUUGAUGGAGGGGCAGGCCCAUCUGUAUGACGAGAUCUGUAGAGACUGAACCGUAGAAAUCAAUGUAGAACAUCACUGAAGAAUGUACGGAAUUGACUUCCGCAAAGGGAAAAAAACAUGUUGCACUAAAAAAAAGAAAACAAAAAAGAAACAGAAAA
Molecule: long non-coding RNA, 753 nt
Organism: Sinocyclocheilus anshuiensis
Lineage: Eukaryota; Metazoa; Chordata; Actinopteri; Cypriniformes; Cyprinidae
Exons: 2
Source: RefSeq, a predicted model, not a curated record